This 632-nucleotide long non-coding RNA is filed under the name Pan troglodytes (chimpanzee). Its description in RNAcentral is "lincRNA". Lineage: Eukaryota; Metazoa; Chordata; Mammalia; Primates; Hominidae. The record is from RNAcentral.
CCUUUCGAAGAAUUUUGUAACUAGCCAGAAAGGUUUUUGAAGGCGUCUCUCAUAAGAUGGCAUUUGAGCAGAGACCUGAGGAAGUGAAAGAUGGAGGGCUGAAGCUUCCAGGUAGAGGAACAAGCAAAGACCCCGAGCAGGAUCAGGAAAGUGUGGUAGAGACAUAAUCAAAGAUUCAGACAAAGAUAUAACUACAGAAUGCACAUGACGGUUUUGUUAAUACACCAAAAUGAAAAAAAUUAAAUAAUGGACUCGCCCAAUAAACUGUGACCAUCUAUAGUUUGGAAUAACAUGAAGAUUGUUAAAAACUAUGUUUACAAGAAUGGCAAUAACAGAGAAACACUUGCUAUAUAAUUUUCACAAUAACAAGGUGUAGAAAUACUAUAUAUAUAUAUAUAAUAAAAUUCAAAUUUUUAAGAGAAAUUAAAAUGUAUAGAAAACAUUGGAACAGGAUACACUUAAUAAUUUUUUUUCAGCAUGGUAGAAUUGUGGGUGAUUUUUGUUCCCUUUAUAUUUUUUAAUACUUUGUACUUUUUAAUGACAAAUGUAUAUACUACCAUUUAAUGAUAAAAAUAUAUUUUUAAAAUACUGGAUAAGAAUUAUUCAAAUAAAUGCCUUAUUUAAAAGUUAAA